Long non-coding RNA from Hemicordylus capensis (graceful crag lizard), 560 nucleotides. RefSeq lists it as uncharacterized. NCBI's taxonomy places the organism in Eukaryota, Metazoa, Chordata, Lepidosauria, Squamata, Cordylidae. The record is from RefSeq and is a predicted model, not a curated record. The transcript has 4 exons.
CAGGAAUUGUGAGAUCGUCCAGCCUAAUUCAGAGUACUAAACCACCCUAACAGCUGAACUGUCCUUAAAUGUAAUGUGAGGAGAGAACUUCAUGUUAUAAGAAAGAAGAGGCUGCCACCAACAUAGUCGUCCUGUGUUGAGUUCCUGACUCUAACUCUGUGACUGUAAUAUGACUUACCUCCUGUACUCUUGAGGUUGUAAUGCUGAGCAUUUCCCUGGCAGUGGCAGACAAAGAGGUGAAGUGAGGUUGAACAAAUGAGCAGCAUAAUGGCUUCAGGACAUGAGUCAUUCUGAAUAUGGUGGACAUCUAGAACCUGGUAUAUAAUAUUGUCGACAUUUCAUGUUGCUCAACUAGCAUGCAGCAUGUCAAGGGUUACUUGUUUCAAUAUGCCUGUUUUCCAUGAACACUGAUCGCAUCUUGAAGCACAGAUUGAGCCGGCCUUGCCUCUUUUGUGAGGCGAUGAUCAGCAACAGUGGCUCUGUGAAGUUGGAUAUUUUUGUUGCCUUGUAUGACAAGCAAGAAAAUGGAAGGGUGGGUGGGUGAAGCAAGCCCACAGAAA